This 117-nucleotide non-coding RNA is filed under the name Leptotrombidium deliense. The record is from RNAcentral. Lineage: Eukaryota; Metazoa; Arthropoda; Arachnida; Trombidiformes; Trombiculidae.
GCUGGGCUCAGUGAUGCAUGCCUGUAGUUCCAGCUCUCUGGGAGGCUGAGAAAGGAGGAUCACUUGAGCCCAGGAGUUUGGGUCCAGCCUAGGUAACUUAGUAAGACCCGGUGUCUU